GGGGGCGUAACGGGUUCGACGAGGAACAGGAGCUUGAGUAAGCGAGUAGCAAUGUGGAACUGCUUUAAAAGUCACAUUUUUCAAUUAAAUGGAAAAACAACUUAUGGUGAUAAACCAAAAAAUAAAAAAGGCAAGGUAGUUUUUGCUGAUUUCUCAGCAAGUAGAGCUAUUGCAGCCUAGUCUUAUAUAAAAGACGACGUCUUAAUGUAGACUACCGCGACUAUUUUAAGGCGACUAAUAGCGGUGAACGUGAAUCAAGAAGUUUCUCGGUCUUGGUCAUGCAAUAGAGAAUACCUAAAUCGUAAGAUUUCUAAUGAGCUUGCAUUUUAGGGAAAUAUAGAUCAUUAGAUACACUCGUAGAAAGCUUAUGUGAAUGUUUUUCGGACAGGGGUUCAAUUCCCCUCGCCUCCACCA
Molecule: transfer-messenger RNA, 414 nt
Filed under: Clostridia bacterium
Lineage: Bacteria; Bacillati; Bacillota; Clostridia
Rfam family: transfer-messenger RNA
About the family: Bacterial tmRNA, also known as 10Sa RNA or SsrA, is named for its dual tRNA and mRNA-like properties.
Source: RNAcentral